RNAcentral lists this ribosomal RNA (301 nucleotides) under uncultured bacterium. RNAcentral describes it as "partial 16S ribosomal RNA". It matches the Rfam family "Bacterial small subunit ribosomal RNA", at positions 509 to 807 of the family's 1533-position model. The record is from RNAcentral.
CAGCAGCCGCGGGAAUACGGAGGGUGCAAGCGUUAAUCGGAAUUACUGGGCGUAAAGCGCACGCAGGCGGUUUGUUAAGUCAGAUGUGAAAUCCCCGAGCUUAACUUGGGAACUGCAUUUGAAACUGGCAAGCUAGAGUCUUGUAGAGGGGGGUAGAAUUCCAGGUGUAGCGGUGAAAUGCGUAGAGAUCUGGAGGAACAUCAGUGGCGAAGGCGGUCAUCUGGGACAACACUGACGCUGAGGCACGAAAGCGUGGGGAGCAAACAGGAUUAGAUACCCGCGUAGUCCCUGUCUCUUAUAC